AUACUACGGUCAAAUUCUUCGUCACAAAGGCCGUUGAAAAUGAUGGUGCAUCGGCGGUAACUUCGCAGCUGAAGUUACCCGAUAGUCUGAAGUCGACGUUCCUCAACAUAACUUGACUCCCGUUGGAUCCAAUUAUACAACAGUGUGUUCGUUGUUGAGGUAAGACGCAAGCCGGUAAACAACCGUUCCAGAAAUCAACCCAACCCCUGCGGUCUAUAUUCACCUCGGUUUCCGGUCAAUCGGUGGUAGACCUUGAAC
This 258-nucleotide unclassified non-coding RNA is filed under the name Athalia rosae (coleseed sawfly). RNAcentral describes it as "misc RNA ENSAEAG00005010020.1". The record is from RNAcentral. Lineage: Eukaryota; Metazoa; Arthropoda; Insecta; Hymenoptera; Athaliidae.